GAAAUUGAAUAAGGGCGCAUGGUGGAUGCCUAGGCUCAAGGAGGCGACGAAGGACGUGGGAAGCUGCGAUAAUCUGCGGUUAGGCGCAACCGGCCAUUGACCCGCAGGUCUCCGAAUGGGACAACCCGCCGCCGAAAGGCGGCAUCACGCUAGAAGCGUGAGGCGAACGCGGGGAACUGAAACAUCUUAGUACCCGCAGGAAGAGAAAACAACAGUGAUUCCCCCAGUAGUGGCGAGCGACCGGGGAAGAGCCCAAACCGUCGGCGUUUCGGCGCCGUCGGGGUAGUAGGGCCGCAAUGUCGCACAAGCACCGUUAAGCGGAACGGACUGGAACGUCCGGCCAUAGCGGGUGAAAGCCCCUUACGCGCCGUCGGUGCUGGCGUAGCGGUUCCCUGAGUAGCGCGGGGCACGAGAAACCCUGUGCGAAUCCGCCGGGACCAUCCGGCAAGGCUAAAUACUCCCUUGAGACCGAUAGUGAACAAGUACCGUGAGGGAAAGGUGGGAAGCACCCCGUCGAGGGGAGUGAAACAGACCCUGAAACCAUGCGCCUACAAGCGGUCGGAGCACGCAUGUGCGUGUGACGGCGUGCCUUUUGCAUAAUGAACCUACGAGUUGCCGUCGCCGGCGAGGUUAACCGUGAAGACGCGGGGAGCCGCAGUGAGAGCGAGCCUGAAGAGGGCGCAUAGUCGGCGGUGGCAGACGCGAAACCAAGUGAUCUACACUUGGCCAGGGUGAAGUCCCGGUAACGCGGGAUGGAGGCCCGAACCGAUAAGCGUUGAAAAGCUUCCGGAUGAGCCGAGUGUAGGAGUGAAAGGCCAAUCAAACUUGGAGAUAGCUCGUACUCCCCGAAAGGCAUUUAGGUGCCGCGUGGGGUGUUCCGGGCGCGAGGUAGAGCGACCGAUAGGACGCGAGGGCUUCACCGCCUGUCAAGUCCUGACGAACUCCGAAUGCGCGUCCGCAGAAGCCCUGCAGUAAGGGGGCGGGUGCUAAGGUCCGCCCCCGAGAGGAGAAGAAUCCAGACCGCCGUCUAAGGCCCCGGAAUUCUGCCUGAGUUAGUCUAACGAAGUGUGCCCCCUGGGACAGCCAGGAUGUUGGCUUGGAAGCAGCCAUUCAUUCAAAGAGUGCGUAACAGCUCACUGGUCGAGGGGGCUCGCGUGGAUAAUAAUCGGGUAUAAGGCAGAUGCCGAAGGCGCGGGAUAUCGAAAGAACGUAUCGGUAGGGGAGCAUUCCAGGUGCGCAGAAUGCAAGGGGCGACCCAUGCUGGAGCGCCUGGAAAGGCAAAUGUAGGUAUGAGUAACGACAAGGGGGGCGCGAACCCCCCCCGCCGCAAGGCCAAGGUUUCCCGGGCGAUGCCAGUCAUCCCGGGGUAAGUCGGGCCCUAAGCCUAAGCCGAAUGGCGAUGGCGAUGGCAGACACGGUUGAUAUUCCGUGACUGCCCGUGCGGGCGAUGCGGCAACGGAGAAGUGACACCGCCGCGCGCAGACGGAACUGCGCGUUGAAGGGUGUAGGCGUCGAGGGGCGCAGUCAAGCACACGCCCCGAGCCGAACCUGAGAGUACGGCGCUCCAUUCGUGGAGGGCCGAGAGUGCGGGUAAUCCAGCUCCCAAGAAACCCCGCUAAGCUUAACCGCACGGGCACCCGUACCGCAAACGGACACACGUGGCCGGGUAGAGCAUACCAAGGCGUUGAGAGACUCAUGGUCAAGGAACUAGGCAAACCAGCCCCGUAACUUCGGGAGAAGGGGUCCUCCCCCUGUGGGAGGCGCAGCGAACAGGCCCAGGCAACUGUUUACCAAAAACACAGGGCUGUGCAAACUCGAGAGAUGAAGUAUACAGCCUGACACCUGCCCGGUGCCGGAAGGUUAAGAGGAGGCGUCACCGCAAGGGAAGCGCCGAGUUGAAGCCCCGGUAAACGGCGGCCGUAACUAUAACGGUCCUAAGGUAGCGAAAUUCCUUGUCGGGUAAGUUCCGACCUGCACGAAUGGUGUAAUGAUCCGGACGCUGUCUCAACCAUGAUCUCAGUGAAAUUGUAGUAUCGGUGAAGAUGCCGAUUACCCGCGAUGGGACGAAAAGACCCCGUGAACCUUUACUGCAGCUUAGCGCUGACCUUGGCCAUCGGAUGUGUAGGAUAGGCCGGAGGCAAUGAAGGCGCCACGCCAGUGGUGCCGGAGCCGCCGUUGAAAUACGGCCCUUCCGCUGUCCGGGGUCUAACGCGCGAUGCGCGGACACCGCUUGGCGGGCAGUUUGACUGGGGUGGUCGCCUC
RNAcentral lists this ribosomal RNA (2262 nucleotides) under human gut metagenome. RNAcentral describes it as "bacterial LSU rRNA". It matches the Rfam family "Bacterial large subunit ribosomal RNA", at positions 1 to 2289 of the family's 2925-position model. The record is from RNAcentral.